RNAcentral lists this ribosomal RNA (302 nucleotides) under uncultured bacterium. RNAcentral describes it as "partial 16S ribosomal RNA". It matches the Rfam family "Bacterial small subunit ribosomal RNA", at positions 508 to 809 of the family's 1533-position model. The record is from RNAcentral.
GCAGCAGCCGCGGUAAUACAGAGGGUGCGAGCGUUAAUCGGAUUUACUGGGCGUAAAGCGUGCGUAGGCGGCUUCUUAAGUCGGAUGUGAAAUCCCUGAGCUUAACUUAGGAAUUGCAUUCGAUACUGGGAAGCUAGAGUAUGGGAGAGGAUGGUAGAAUUCCAGGUGUAGCGGUGAAAUGCGUAGAGAUCUGGAGGAAUACCGAUGGCGAAGGCAGCCAUCUGGCCUAAUACUGACGCUGAGGUACGAAAGCAUGGGGAGCAAACAGGAUUAGAUACCCGUGUAGUCCCUGUCUCUUAUAA